CCCCGACCGCCAGCAGCCACUGGACCCCCAGGGAGAAAGAGACCCCCCCCCAGCAUUCCCAAAGGUAAGGAGGCUGGGUUAAAUAAAAAAAAAUGUGUUAAUGUGAGUGUGUGUGUAUGUCUGUUAGCGUGUGUCUGUUAGUGCGUGUGUCUGUUAGUGUGUUUGCCUGUUAGUGUGUGUGUGUUAGUGAGUGUGUGUCUGACUGUGUGAGUGUCUGUUAGUGAGUGUGUGUCUGUUAGUGUGUGUGUGAGUGUUUUUCUGU
This is a non-coding RNA of Pelobates cultripes (western spadefoot toad), 262 nucleotides long. NCBI's taxonomy places the organism in Eukaryota, Metazoa, Chordata, Amphibia, Anura, Pelobatidae. The record is from the annotation of a GenBank genome assembly.